AGAGCAAAGGGGGGGUUAGGGUUUCGUGAUCUACAUGGUUUUAACCUUGCCAUGUUGGUGAGGCAGGCUUGGCGCAUGCUCACUGUCCCUGACUUUUUGUGUGCUCGAGUUCUUAAGGCCAAGUAUUUUCCGGCAACUUCUUUACUGGAAGCUGAACCUAGACAAGGAAUUUCGUACACAUGGCGAAGUAUAUUGAAGGGGGUUGCACUGCUGAAAGAGGGGCUCGUUUGA
RNAcentral lists this ribosomal RNA (231 nucleotides) under Triticum aestivum (bread wheat). Its description in RNAcentral is "partial small subunit ribosomal RNA". Lineage: Eukaryota; Viridiplantae; Streptophyta; Magnoliopsida; Poales; Poaceae. The record is from RNAcentral.